This 1033-nucleotide long non-coding RNA is filed under the name Rattus norvegicus (Norway rat). RNAcentral describes it as "long non-coding RNA NONRATT003199". Lineage: Eukaryota; Metazoa; Chordata; Mammalia; Rodentia; Muridae. The record is from RNAcentral.
AUUUUCCAAGCAUCCCCCUUGGAAUGCUGGGAUCCGACAAGAAGAAUGAAAAUGAUAAGCCAGAAAACUCCGGAGGAGGGGCCCCCUGAGGACUGCCUCUCAACUACCAUUUGCUUUGGGGACAGCUUAGAGCUGGAUGUAGCCAUUCAGUUUGCUCUUGGGUGAACUGUGACCUGUGACUUUUCCCAGAGCACUCCGAUUUUGGGCUGGCCGGUAGCUGCUUGGGGUAGCCUGCCAGAGAUCAGUCACUUCUCCUGGAGGUGGGGAUGGGGAGACUUCCUGGCUCCAUGUGGUCCCUGCACCUGUUUUGUCCACUCGGAAGUAUGGUUUAUGUGCAAGAUAGGACAAUUUAGGCGAUGGCUGUGAACAGUACUGGUGAGUAUAGACCAUGGAGAGAGCAGGGGAGAUGCAAAAGGAGGGGCACGGGAGCUGCCGAGCCCUCAGAUCCCUUCAUUGUGCUCAGACAGGAUAUGGCUGAAAACCUAAGUUUGUCUGUAGUUCCCCAAAAGAAUGCAAACAUGAUGGGGACUAAAUGUCUCCAUACUUGUGCCAUCAAGAAUGAGUUCUUCAGCUUAGCUGCCACAGCCUUUCCUCAAAGGCUCCCUCAGACCAGCACACACCAAGCACCCAUGCAAGAAGGGGAGAAGAAUCAGCCCAAUGCAGGGACUGGGUGGUGCAAAACCACUGCUUUUGAUGAUGCUUUCCCUACAGGCUCAAUUUGUCCGUUUCCUCUGAAGUCCUUCCCAUCUCUGGAAUAAGAAAGAGUUAAAUGAAAGACAGGCUCAGGGGGUGGGACAUGGAUGCCCAAAGGGUCUGAGGUAGAGAGGGGACAGACCACAAUUGUGCUGUUUCUGACUCUGAUACCAGCCCGGCUCGUGGUCCAAAGCUGGUUGCUGGAAGAGCUGUGCAAGGGGAAGUCGUUGAGUCAGAGGACACUGUCCUUGAGAACAGCCUGACCUACAAAAAGAUGUGUGUGUGCGGCUGUGUGGCCUGGGUGGAAAAGGGGAAGGUGGGUAGGAGGGAGGGGACGAGG